CGGCCGGGGCCGGGCUACGCGGAGGACAAACAGCUGGCGAGUGUCAGGGUCUGGCCGCCUCCCCGCUGCCCACACGCACCUACCCGCGCCCGGGACGCGCAUUUUCCUUCUCUCGCCACGAGUUCACCUGGGACUUUGCAAAUAACUGUGCGGUGGGAGCUGCGCUCCAGCCUUGUCAUUUGCUGAGGGUGGGUGGCGGUGCCCAAGGAAGUGAACUUAUUUUGUUCCUUCACAAAGACUGGACCAGGCGGUGCCUUUCACGCGAAGAGGUUACGACCACGGACACAACCUCCUUUGAUGCAUUGUGCGAGGCAGCACCUCGGGCCCCGGACAGUAGUCAUUUCACAGAAAAUGCACCGCCCCGAGUGUCUUAUUGCUGUGAUGAAAUGGAAAUUUAAAUAAAAGGUCGAACACGUGCGUUCACUGGGAAGUAUUGACAUGGGUGUUACAUCACCAGCAGCCAAUCAGAUAACUCCAGUCGUGUUUAUACUUCUACAACCACCUUGUGAGUAUUACAGUAUGUCAUAACGUUAUAAAUAUUAGGCAGGGUUUUCCCCAGGAGCGGGGAGGAGUCUGCUUCUACGGACGUUGUGAGCGGCUCCGAAGAUUGUGUGUUUAAAGUCAACAAUUCAUUUUUAAGACUUUUUUCGAACUGUUUACAUUACAUGGACUUUAGAUUGAUUCUGACAGAAUGAACUGGAAAUGAAAUCCCACAGUUAUGAUCGUAGUAGAGUUUUUUUUUCCAAUUUAGGGCCCUUAUACUCCUUUUAAAAAUUUUUAAUAUGCUAAAUUUAGCAAAUACUAAAGUGUUAAGACUCAUCUGACAAUGUGAGAAUUUAAGCCUAUUUCAGGUUAAGAAAAAAAAGAUGUUUUCAAGUUAUGGAGGGGCUUUUUACUCUUAAGCGACAUAUGUAUUAGAAGUUGAAUCACGAACUGAUAAAAUGCUCCAGAUAAUUGUUGACUAAAAAAAAUACGGCAGGACAAAUUUUUUACAUUAAUACAUAUGUGCAGAAAAUGAGAAAUAUACAUGAACUCUUUACAGUUAUAGAUUAAUGGGAAGGGUUAUGUUAAAGGCUUGAACCUCCUAAAUAAUGUAUUAAUGUAAAUAAAGUUAUAUAUGUUUUAUGAAGAACAGGUGUUACAAUUUUUAGACCUAGUUUUAUGAUUCUUAUUCUCUUCAAAAGUUCUUUUUCUAUUUCAAAACUAAGAGCAAUAUGUAAAGCUUUGUAUAAUAUGGAAUAUGGUAUGUAUUUCAAGGUUACUUUAAAAAGCAAGCUUUGGCUGGUCCCAAGGUAGUGAAUUGUCUCAAUUGGUUAUUCACAGUUGGUUGCCCGUUGUACCACUCUUUCCCCACUUCCACUUGACUAGUCUUUUAAAAAUAAAUAAAUAUUUAAAUAAACAAGUCUUCUCAAACAUUAUAAAAGACCGUUUUUCUUAAUAUUUUUUAAAUGGACUAACAUGAAUCCACAUCCAGACUCAUAUUAAUUGUAUACAUUUAUUCAAAGCAACAUUCACUUCAUUCAUUGUAAUUUUUAGUACCUGUUGAUGAGCAGUGUUGUAUAUCAAACAAAAAACAUUGGUUUUAUCUUGUAGAUUACAUGUAAUUUUAAUGUAAAGAAUGACAGUACUACCCUGCCACAAAAGGAUUUUGGCUUUGAGUUAUUUUUCCGGUAAUAAACAUAUUGUCACCUGGCCACCAGUGACCAAGAGCUUGAAAUUC
Molecule: long non-coding RNA, 1720 nt
Filed under: Homo sapiens (human)
Lineage: Eukaryota; Metazoa; Chordata; Mammalia; Primates; Hominidae
Description: non-protein coding lnc-ZNF704-7:5
Rfam family: Y RNA (bases 1280-1374)
Source: RNAcentral